Molecule: small nucleolar RNA, 75 nt
Filed under: Carlito syrichta (Philippine tarsier)
Lineage: Eukaryota; Metazoa; Chordata; Mammalia; Primates; Tarsiidae
Description: Small nucleolar RNA SNORD113/SNORD114 family (ENSTSYG00000020217.2)
Rfam family: Small nucleolar RNA SNORD113/SNORD114 family
About the family: The imprinted human domain at 14q32 contains two clusters of tandemly repeated small nucleolar RNAs named 14q(I) and 14q(II) snoRNAs. These two clusters are named SNORD113 and SNORD114 respectively in the HGNC approved gene symbol nomenclature. The snoRNAs found in both clusters are clearly related and are represented here by a single family.
Source: Rfam by way of RNAcentral
UGGUCCAGAGAUGAUGACUCGUGGCAUGUGAGUCAAGGCUGAUGGAUAAUAUAUGUCAGCAACUUUAAGUUCCAA